This 468-nucleotide ribosomal RNA is filed under the name uncultured bacterium. RNAcentral's name for it is "partial 16S ribosomal RNA". It matches the Rfam family "Bacterial small subunit ribosomal RNA", at positions 28 to 507 of the family's 1533-position model. The record is from RNAcentral.
GACGAACGCUGGCGGCGUGCUUAACACAUGCAAGUCGAACGGAAAGGCCCUGCUUUUGUGGGGUGCUCGAGUGGCGAACGGGUGAGUAACACGUGAGUAACCUGCCCUUGACUUUGGGAUAACUUCAGGAAACUGGGGCUAAUACCGGAUAGGAGCUCCUGCUGCAUGGUGGGGGUUGGAAGGUUUCGGCGGUUGGGGAUGGACUCGCGGCUUAUCAGCUUGUUGGUGGGGUAGUGGCUUACCAAGGCUUUGACGGGUAGCCGGCCUGAGAGGGUGACCGGCCGCAUUGGGACUGAGAUACGGCCCAGACUCCUACGGGAGGCAGCAGUGGGGAAUAUUGCACAAUGGGCGGAAGCCUGAUGCAGCAACGCCGCGUGCGGGAUGACGGCCUUCGGGUUGUAAACCGCUUUCGCCUGUGACGAAGCGUGAGUGACGGUAAUGGGUAAAGAAGCACCGGCUAACUACGUG